Molecule: ribosomal RNA, 440 nt
Filed under: uncultured bacterium
Lineage: Bacteria
Description: partial 16S ribosomal RNA
Rfam family: Bacterial small subunit ribosomal RNA
Source: RNAcentral
CCUACGGGUGGCAGCAGUAGGGAAUAUUGCUCAAUGGGGGAAACCCUGAAGCAGCAACGCCGCGUGGAGGAUGAAGGUUUUCGGAUUGUAAACUCCUUUUGGUAGGGAAGAUAAUGACGGUAUCUAACGAAUAAGCACCGGCUAACUCCGUGCCAGCAGCCGCGGUAAUACGUAGGGGGCAAGCGUUACUCGGAAUUACUGGGCGUAAAGGGCGCGUAGGCGGGAUAGCAAGCCAGAUGUGAAAUCCUAUGGCCUAACCAUAGAACUGCAUUUGAAACUGUUAGUCUAGAGUAUGGGAGGGGUAGGUGGAAUUCUUGGUGUAGGGGUAAAAUCCGUAGAGAUCAAGAGGAAUACUGAUUGCGAAGGCGACCUGCUAGAACAUAACUGACGCUGAGGCGCGAAAGCGUGGGGAGCAAACAGGAUUAGAUACCCGGGUAGUC